Molecule: long non-coding RNA, 390 nt
Organism: Homo sapiens (human)
Lineage: Eukaryota; Metazoa; Chordata; Mammalia; Primates; Hominidae
Source: Ensembl
UGAGCCACGGUGCCCAGCCAUGUGUGUGGGUCUGAUUCUAGAAGGAAUUAUCUUGUAAGUCCUAAGGGAGAGGUCAGAAGCUCUUCCUUCUCCCCACCCCACCCCCACUCCCUCCAAGGAACAAGGUCUGUUAGGAGGACACCUCAUGUAUUCUCUGGGUGUGUCAGUCUGCAGUGUGGACAGAAGGACAUGCCCUUCAGAAUCCUACCAACGUGGGCUCAAAUUUCUAUCCUGCCACUUACCCGCUGUAUUCCCUGGGUCAACUUAUUCAAACAUCUUCUAUGCAAUUGGAGGAAAAAGAUUUUCUCUGCAGCAGUGUAAUAAUUAAAUGAGAUCAUACAUGUCAAGUACCACAUAAUCAUGACAUAAUAAAACCACUUAACUUUCCAA